Molecule: ribosomal RNA, 442 nt
Filed under: uncultured bacterium
Lineage: Bacteria
Description: partial 16S ribosomal RNA
Rfam family: Bacterial small subunit ribosomal RNA
Source: RNAcentral
CCUACGGGUGGCAGCAGUGGGGAAUAUUGGGCAAUUGUCGCAAGCCUGACCCAGCAACGCCGCGUGAAGGAAGAAGGCUUUCGGGUUGUACACUUCUUUUGUCAGGGAAGAGUAGAAGACGGUACCUGACGAAUCAGCCACGGCUACCUACGUGCGAGCAGCCGCGGUAAGACGUAGGUGGCAAGCGUUGUCCGGAUUUACUGGGUGUAAAGGGCGUGUAGCCGGGUUGACAAGUCAGAUGUGAAAUCCUGCGGCGUAACCGCAGAACUGCAUUGGACACUGUGGAUCUUGAGUACUGGAGAGGCAGAUGGAAUUACGAGUGUAGCGGUGAAAUGCGUAGAUAUUAGGAGGAACACCAGUGGCGAAGGCGGUCUGCUGGACAGCAACUGACGGUGAGGCGCGAAAGCGUGGGGAGCAAACAGGAUUAGAUACCCCUGUAGUC